This 660-nucleotide long non-coding RNA is filed under the name Musa acuminata (dwarf banana). RNAcentral describes it as "long non-coding RNA (MACU_LNC002118)". Lineage: Eukaryota; Viridiplantae; Streptophyta; Magnoliopsida; Zingiberales; Musaceae. The record is from RNAcentral.
UUUUUUUAUUGUUGACGUUUAACGAGAAAAUCUAACAGAGAAAUAAAACAUAGAUUCAACGGUCAACCAACUUGAGUUGCCUACCGUAACAUCACUCUUUCUCACACUCGAUGACAAAUACUACCGGGAAACAUAGUGGUGAAAGGGCAUCAAAGCCGCGCCAUCACGCCAUACUUGUAGAAGGUCAGUGUGCGGGUGGAUUUACUCUCUUCUUGUACGGGUCAGUGCUUGUGGGAGGAGGAUUGGCGUUCGUGGUCGGCGACGAGUUCCCAAGACAAUUCUUUGAACCAGUAGACGAAGUAAUAACACAACCGGACGCCCCAUUGAAGGUGCCCUGGAGUCGCCCGGACCAGAUGGACUGCGAUACCAGCAACCAGAACAUGGCGGAAAAGCAAACGAGAGUGACACGACCUCCUCUUCUUCUAGUAUCAGCGUACGUCAUGUUCCUCGAUCCAGCGCCGGGUUUCUGCUGCUUGCCCAAGUACUCCUACUUAAUUUGCUUCUGUAACAUUGGAAAGGCAACCUGGAGACGAGGUGAAUGGAUAUAUUAGGACAUUGCCUACACAAGCAGUGACAUGGGAGAAGGCGAUGUAGAAGGAGGAGGAGGAGGAGGAGAAAGUGACGCUGGCUUACCGUCCCAAAGAGCCACUCUGUGACGAA